This 71-nucleotide transfer RNA is filed under the name Actinia tenebrosa (Australian red waratah sea anemone). RNAcentral describes it as "tRNA-Gly". It matches the Rfam family "tRNA". From Rfam's summary of the family: Transfer RNA (tRNA) molecules are approximately 80 nucleotides in length. Lineage: Eukaryota; Metazoa; Cnidaria; Anthozoa; Actiniaria; Actiniidae. The record is from Rfam by way of RNAcentral.
GCACCGGUGGUUCAGUGGUAGAAUACUCGCCUGCCACGCGGGUGACCCGGGUUCGAUUCCCUGCUUGUGCA